GACAACGCUGGCGGCGUGCCUAACACAUGCAAGUCGAACGAAGAAUGUUUUUCGGAAUAUUCUUAGUGGCGGACGGGUGAGUAACGCGUGAACAAUCUGCCCCGUACAAAGGGAUAGCCUCGGGAAACCGGGAUUAAAACCAUAUAACACUUAACUGCCGCAUGGUAGUGAAGUCAAAUCGAUUAAGAGGUAUGGGAUGAGUUCGCGUCUGAUUAGCUAGUUGGUGAGGUAAGGGCUCACCAAGGCGACGAUCAGUAGCCGGCCUGAGAGGGUGAACGGCCACACUGGAACUGAGACACGGUCCAGACUCCUACGGGAGGCAGCAGUGGGGAAUAUUGCACAAUGGAGGGAACUCUGAUGCAGCGACGCCGCGUGAGGGAUGAAGGCCUUCGGGUUGUAAACCUCUUUCAGCAGGGACGAAGCGCAAGUGACGGUACCUGCAGAAGAAGCACCGGCCAACUACGUG
RNAcentral lists this ribosomal RNA (466 nucleotides) under uncultured bacterium. RNAcentral's name for it is "bacterial SSU rRNA". It matches the Rfam family "Bacterial small subunit ribosomal RNA", at positions 32 to 507 of the family's 1533-position model. The record is from RNAcentral.